RNAcentral lists this non-coding RNA (187 nucleotides) under Alkalisalibacterium limincola. RNAcentral's name for it is "6S / SsrS RNA". It matches the Rfam family "6S / SsrS RNA". From Rfam's summary of the family: E. coli 6S RNA was the first non coding RNA to be sequenced, but its function was unknown until recently. It consists of 184 nucleotides that fold into an extended hairpin structure with a large single-stranded internal bulge. Lineage: Bacteria; Pseudomonadati; Pseudomonadota; Gammaproteobacteria; Lysobacterales; Lysobacteraceae. The record is from Rfam by way of RNAcentral.
CGUCCUCUGCCUUACGCGACAGCGUACGCUAACAUUCGCCUUGUCCCUUAAUACGACCCCGGGGGUUGAAGUCCAUCGCCGUGUGCAUGUCCGCCACCGAGCGGAAAGCCUGACGCGAGGAUCGACGCCCCCACCUGAUCCUCGGGAUCAAGGUCGUUUCGUAGGCAUCGGUAAAGGCGGAGGAUGC